Molecule: long non-coding RNA, 326 nt
Filed under: Brassica napus (rape)
Lineage: Eukaryota; Viridiplantae; Streptophyta; Magnoliopsida; Brassicales; Brassicaceae
Description: long non-coding RNA (BNAP_LNC016180)
Source: RNAcentral
CCCUCUUCUUUUAAAGCGGAUGAGUCUUUCCAAAUCUAUAACCAACGGCAGAGGGAGAGAAUAAUUUUACAGGGGUCAAACUGAUAACAGUCCUAUUUUACAUUGUUUCACUUGGUUUUGCGAUUGGAAUUAGCUCCAUAUUUCCUUUGCUACAUUGUAUUAGAAAAGAAGUUGGUUGACGUUUGACAGUUUGACAUAUGGUGUCCGCUUUCAUAUUCUGUCUGAAUAUCCUAACUAGCUAAUAAAUGAACAACUUACCACCUUAAUUUACUAAACCAUAUGAAGAAGCUCUCUCCCCAAGACUAUUAGUAGACAAAUCUCAUACU